GACGAACGCUGGCGGCGUGCUUAACACAUGCAAGUCGAGCGGUAAGGCCCUUUCGGGGGUACACGAGCGGCGAACGGGUGAGUAACACGUGGGUGACCUGCCCUCAGCUCUGGGAUAAGCCCGGGAAACUGGGUCUAAUACCGGAUAUGACUUCAUGACGCAUGUUGUGGAGUGGAAAGCCUUGUGCGGCUGAGGAUGGGCCCGCGGCCUAUCAGCUUGUUGGUGGGGUGAUGGCCUACCAAGGCGACGACGGGUAGCCGGCCUGAGAGGGCGACCGGCCACACUGGGACUGAGAUACGGCCCAGACUCCUACGGGAGGCAGCAGUGGGGAAUCUUGCGCAAUGGGCGAAAGCCUGACGCAGCGACGCCGCGUGAGGGAU
Molecule: ribosomal RNA, 380 nt
Filed under: uncultured bacterium
Lineage: Bacteria
Description: bacterial SSU rRNA
Rfam family: Bacterial small subunit ribosomal RNA
Source: RNAcentral